This 492-nucleotide ribosomal RNA is filed under the name uncultured bacterium. RNAcentral's name for it is "partial 16S ribosomal RNA". It matches the Rfam family "Bacterial small subunit ribosomal RNA", at positions 29 to 507 of the family's 1533-position model. The record is from RNAcentral.
AGUGAACGCUGGCGGUAGGCCUAACACAUGCAAGUCGAACGGCAGCACAGUAAGAGCUUGCUCUUACGGGUGGCGAGUGGCGGACGGGUGAGGAAUACAUCGGAAUCUACUUUUUCGUGGGGGAUAACGUAGGGAAACUUACGCCAAUACCGCAUACGACCUACGGGUGAAAGCAGGGGAUCUUCGGACCUUGCGCGAUUGAAUGAGCCGAUGUCGGUUUAGCUAGUUGGCGGGGUAAAGGCCCACCAAGGCGACGAUCCGUAGCUGGUCUGAGAGGAUGAUCAGCCACACUAGAACUGAGACACGGUCCAGACUCCUACGGGAGGCAGCAGUGGGGAAUAUUGGACAAUGGGCGCAAGCCUGGUCCAGCCAUGCCGAGUGGGUGAAAGAAGCCUUCGGGUUUUAAAGCCCUUUUGUUGGGAAAGAAAAGCAGCAGGUUAAUACCCCGCUGUUCUGACGGUACCCAAAGAAUAAGCACCGGCUAACUUCGUG